This 101-nucleotide transfer RNA is filed under the name Cadophora sp. MPI-SDFR-AT-0126. Its description in RNAcentral is "Leotiomycetes sp. MPI-SDFR-AT-0126 tRNA". It matches the Rfam family "tRNA". From Rfam's summary of the family: Transfer RNA (tRNA) molecules are approximately 80 nucleotides in length. Their secondary structure includes four short double-helical elements and three loops (D, anti-codon, and T loops). The record is from Rfam by way of RNAcentral. Lineage: Eukaryota; Fungi; Ascomycota; Leotiomycetes; Helotiales; Ploettnerulaceae.
UCCGGAAUGGUGUAGUGGCUAGCAUUUCUGCCUCUCAAGAAAUUGUCUAAUGACAGUGAAUUUGUUCGCAGGAGACCGGGGUUCAAUUCCCCGUUCCGGAA